This 424-nucleotide ribosomal RNA is filed under the name uncultured bacterium. RNAcentral describes it as "bacterial SSU rRNA". It matches the Rfam family "Bacterial small subunit ribosomal RNA", at positions 355 to 775 of the family's 1533-position model. The record is from RNAcentral.
UGAGGAAUAUUGGUCAAUGGGCGCAAGCCUGAACCAGCCAUCCCGCGUGCAGGAAGACGGCGCUAUGCGUUGUAAACUGCUUUUCCAGGGAGAGAAACUUGCGCACGUGUUGCGCAAUUGACGGUACCCUGGGAAUAAGCAUCGGCUAACUCCGUGCCAGCAGCCGCGGUAAUACGGAGGAUGCGAGCGUUAUCCGGAUUCAUUGGGUUUAAAGGGUGCGUAAGCGGACUAUUAAGUCAGUGGUGAAAUCCUGCAGCUUAACUGCAGAACCGACAUUGAUACUGAUAGCCUUGAGUUUGGUUAAGGUAGGCGGAAUGUGUAAUGUAGCGGUGAAAUGCUUAGAUAUUACACAGAACACCAAUUGCGUAGGCAGCUUACUGAGCCGACACUGACGCUGAGGCACGAAAGCGUGGGGAUCGAACAG